Molecule: ribosomal RNA, 393 nt
Filed under: uncultured bacterium
Lineage: Bacteria
Description: bacterial SSU rRNA
Rfam family: Bacterial small subunit ribosomal RNA
Source: RNAcentral
AACGAACGCUGGCGGCAGGCUUAACACAUGCAAGUCGAGCGCCCUCUUCGGGGGGAGCGGCGGACGGGUGAGUAACGCGUGGGAACGUACCCUUUUCUCCGGAAUAGCCUCGGGAAACUGAGAUUAAUGCCGGAUACGCCCUUUGGGGGAAAGAUUUAUCGGAGAAGGAUCGGCCCGCGUUGGAUUAGGUAGUUGGUGGGGUAAUGGCCUACCAAGCCGACGAUCCAUAGCUGGUUUGAGAGGAUGAUCAGCCACACUGGGACUGAGACACGGCCCAGACUCCUACGGGAGGCAGCAGUGGGGAAUCUUGGACAAUGGGGGCAACCCUGAUCCAGCCAUGCCGCGUGAACGACGAAGGCCUUAGGGUUGUAAAGUUCUUUCAGCGAGGAAGAU